UAUUUAUUAGUUUAAAAUAAAACAUUAUAUUUUCAAUAUAAAAAUAAUUUCUUUUAUAAAUA
This 62-nucleotide transfer RNA is filed under the name Myzus persicae (green peach aphid). RNAcentral's name for it is "tRNA-Glu". Lineage: Eukaryota; Metazoa; Arthropoda; Insecta; Hemiptera; Aphididae. The record is from RNAcentral.